This 231-nucleotide long non-coding RNA is filed under the name Arachis ipaensis. Its description in RNAcentral is "long non-coding RNA (AIPA_LNC002261)". The record is from RNAcentral. Lineage: Eukaryota; Viridiplantae; Streptophyta; Magnoliopsida; Fabales; Fabaceae.
ACGAGGAGGUGAGAAGAAGAAACGACACGGCAAGGAGGGGAGAAGCAGUGACGACCCACGGCAAGGAGUGGAGAAGCGGCAACGACCAACGGUGAAGAGCAAAGAAGCAGCGACAAAGAGAGCUCGGACAGAAAAACGGCGAUGCCAACAACAUCCCCGAAAUGACCUUAGCUUCUGGCGACACGAGGAGCAGAGCAGAAUGAAAGGGGAGAUGGUGAUGGUGGCUCUAAU